RNAcentral lists this long non-coding RNA (1187 nucleotides) under Pogona vitticeps (central bearded dragon). RNAcentral's name for it is "lncRNA (ENSPVIG00000008918.1)". The record is from RNAcentral. Lineage: Eukaryota; Metazoa; Chordata; Lepidosauria; Squamata; Agamidae.
GAGUAUGUUAACAAUACAGCAUACUUUAUUUUUUUUUUAUUCCACACAUCCCAUCUUGGACAUUGCCUUCCUCUCACGCCCCAACUGGGUGAGUUCUCAAUUGACAGUGAGCCAGAACACUUCCCCCACACCUGAAAAGAGGGAUGAACUCCUGAACUUUUCAGGAUGGGACCCUCUGGGCCCAGAAGGCUACGUCCCAAAAGAGGACAGCUCAGGGGGCCUGAGUCUGCAUAGGAGGUUGGGCUGCUGUACGUAGUAUACAUGACCUCGGCUUUGGUCUCCCAGGACACCUCCUUACAUGGUCAGAUGGAACUUUAAACAAAGAGGUCAUCCACUCGCCUCUACGGUUUGGGCUGGAGUGAUAAGCUCCAGGUCUGCAGCUUUCCUUUAUCUCACUAAGAGAUGGAUGAGAACUUGUAGAUAUGGGCAGUUCAGGGCUCACCAUGAGGGAUCCAGCCUGACCCCCAAAUUUGAGGGCAUACCCCCUCCACCCCAGUCACAAACUACCUAUACUUGUAGGCUACAGAUUCUAAAGACCUGUUUGGUACCAAAAGUCCUGAGCUAGAACAUCCUUGAUGCCCAACCCAAUCUCUGUAUGAAGACUUACUUGGCAGAAGAUAACUAUAUUGUUGAACUGUUCUUGCCAAUUAAGAGGUUUCUCUUGAUGUCCAGCUGAAAUCUACCAUCUCAAUACCAUUGGGUGGAGUCAAGUAGUUGUUUCAGCUAGUGGUGGCUGCUAUGGGACAUCUGGGUAUUAGAAGAGAAUGUGGUAUGCAUCAUGGCUGCCUUCCACAUAUGGCAUGGUGGGGGAGAUCUUCCCAUCACCAGAACUGAAGAUAUUGGAGGUGAUGGAACUCAGCCUACAUUCAAGAAGUUUGUUUUCUCACGAGGCUCAGUAGAGUCACAGGACCUCCUCAGGUUUCCUAGACUGUCCUUUACUUGUGUUGACUGUCUUUUGGCCUUAGAUUGUUAUUCUUAAGUUUGCUGAUGUCACUUCCUUCUCACAUCUCCACCUUGUCCCUCCAAUGAGAAGACAUUUUGCUUUUUGUUUUCUACAGAUUAAAAGAGCAGUCACAUCUCUUGACAUCUUUGGCUUCGAAGAUCUAGAAUUAGGACUGUUACCACCUUUCCCAGCCCAAGUGUAUUUCUCUAAUAAACACAAGGUUUCUUAAUGUUUUAGAAUGAAG